RNAcentral lists this ribosomal RNA (497 nucleotides) under uncultured bacterium. RNAcentral describes it as "partial 16S ribosomal RNA". It matches the Rfam family "Bacterial small subunit ribosomal RNA", at positions 28 to 507 of the family's 1533-position model. The record is from RNAcentral.
GAUGAACGCUGGCGGCGUGCCUAAUACAUGCAAGUCGAGCGAACAGACGCGGAGCUUGCUCCUCUGUCGUUAGCGGCGGACGGGUGAGUCACACGUGGAUACCCUCCCUAUCAGACUGGGAUCACUUCGAGACACCGGCUCUAAUCCCGGAUAAUCUCUUGAACCGCAUGGUUCAAUAGUGAAAGUCGGUUUUGCUGUCAGUUCUCGCUGGAUCCGCGCCGCUUUAGCUAGUUGGUAAGGUAACGGCUUUCCAAGGCAACCAUGCGUAGCCGACCUGAGAGGGUGAUCGGCCACAUUGGAACUGAGACACGGUCAAGACUCCUACGGGAGGCAGCAGUAGGGAAUCGGACGCAAUGGGCGAAAGCCUGACGGAGCAACGGCGCGUGAGUGAUGAAGGUCUUCGGAGCGGAAAACUCGGUUAUGAGGGAAGAACAAAUGUGUAAGGAACUAUGCACGGCGUGACGGUACCUGAUAAGAAAGCAACGGCUAACUACGUG